This 935-nucleotide ribosomal RNA is filed under the name Leuconostoc carnosum. Its description in RNAcentral is "bacterial SSU rRNA". It matches the Rfam family "Bacterial small subunit ribosomal RNA", at positions 52 to 969 of the family's 1533-position model. Lineage: Bacteria; Bacillati; Bacillota; Bacilli; Lactobacillales; Lactobacillaceae. The record is from RNAcentral.
UACAUGCAGUCGAACGCACAGCGAAAGGUGCUUGCACCUUUCAAGUGAGUGGCGAACGGGUGAGUAACACGUGGACAACCUGCCUCAAGGCUGGGGAUAACAUUUGGAAACAGAUGCUAAUACCGAAUAAAACUUAGUAUCGCAUGAUACCAGGUUAAAAGGCGCUACGGCGUCACCUAGAGAUGGAUCCGCGGUGCAUUAGUUAGUUGGUGGGGUAAAGGCCUACCAAGACAAUGAUGCAUAGCCGAGUUGAGAGACUGAUCGGCCACAUUGGGACUGAGACACGGCCCAAACUCCUACGGGAGGCUGCAGUAGGGAAUCUUCCACAAUGGGCGAAAGCCUGAUGGAGCAACGCCGCGUGUGUGAUGAAGGCUUUCGGGUCGUAAAGCACUGUUGUAUGGGAAGAAAAGUUAAGGUAGGGAAUGACCUUAGCCUGACGGUACCAUACCAGAAAGGGACGGCUAAAUACGUGCCAGCAGCCGCGGUAAUACGUAUGUCCCGAGCGUUAUCCGGAUUUAUUGGGCGUAAAGCGAGCGCAGACGGUUGGUUAAGUCUGAUGUGAAAGCCCGGAGCUCAACUCCGGAAAGGCAUUGGAAACUGGUUAACUUGAGUGCAGUAGAGGUAAGUGGAACUCCAUGUGUAGCGGUGGAAUGCGUAGAUAUAUGGAAGAACACCAGCGGCGAAGGCGGCUUACUGGACUGUAACUGACGUUGAGGCUCGAAAGUGUGGGUAGCAAACAGGAUUAGAUACCCUGGUAGUCCACACCGUAAACGAUGAACACUAGGUGUUAGGAGGUUUCCGCCUCUUAGUGCCGAAGCUAACGCAUUAAGUGUUCCGCCUGGGGAGUACGACCGCAAGGUUGAAACUCAAAGGAAUUGACGGGGACCCGCACAAGCGGUGGAGCAUGUGGUUUAAUUCGAAGCAACGCGAGAACC